RNAcentral lists this ribosomal RNA (497 nucleotides) under uncultured bacterium. RNAcentral's name for it is "partial 16S ribosomal RNA". It matches the Rfam family "Bacterial small subunit ribosomal RNA", at positions 28 to 507 of the family's 1533-position model. The record is from RNAcentral.
GAUGAACGCUGGCGGCGUGCCUAAUACAUGCAAGUCGAGCGAACAGACGAGGAGCUUGCUCCUUCGACGUUAGCGGCGGACGGGCGAGUAACACGUAGGUAACCUACCUAUAAGACUGGGAUAACUUCGGGAAACCGGCGCUAAUACCGGAUAAUAUUUCGAACCGCAUGGUUCGAUAGUGAAAGAUGGCUUUGCUAUCACUUAUAGAUGGAUCUGCGCCGUUUUAGCUAGUUGGUAAGGUAACGGCUUACCAAGGCAACGAUACGUAGCCGACCUGAUCGGGUGAUCGGACCCACUGGAACUGAGACACGGUCCAGACGCCUACGGGAGGCAGCAGUAGGGAAUCUUCCGCAAUGGGCGAAAGCCUGACGGAGCAACGCCGCGUGAGUGAUGAAGGUCUUCGGAUCGUAAAACUCUGUUAUUAGGGAAGAACAAACGUGUAAGUAACUGUGCACGUCUUGACGGUACCUAAUCAGAAAGCCACGGCUAACUACGUG